Molecule: ribosomal RNA, 513 nt
Filed under: Staphylococcus aureus
Lineage: Bacteria; Bacillati; Bacillota; Bacilli; Caryophanales; Staphylococcaceae
Description: partial 23S ribosomal RNA
Rfam family: Bacterial large subunit ribosomal RNA
Source: RNAcentral
AUGAGAAUUCUAAGGUGAGCGAGCGAACUCUCGUUAAGGAACUCGGCAAAAUGACCCCGUAACUUCGGGAGAAGGGGUGCUCUUUAGGGUUAACGCCCAGAAGAGCCGCAGUGAAUAGGCCCAAGCGACUGUUUAUCAAAAACACAGGUCUCUGCUAAACCGUAAGGUGAUGUAUAGGGGCUGACGCCUGCCCGGUGCUGGAAGGUUAAGAGGAGUGGUUAGCUUCUGCGAAGCUACGAAUCGAAGCCCCAGUAAACGGCGGCCGUAACUAUAACGGUCCUAAGGUAGCGAAAUUCCUUGUCGGGUAAGUUCCGACCCGCACGAAAGGCGUAACGAUUUGGGCACUGUCUCAACGAGAGACUCGGUGAAAUCAUAGUACCUGUGAAGAUGCAGGUUACCCGCGACAGGACGGAAAGACCCCGUGGAGCUUUACUGUAGCCUGAUAUUGAAAUUCGGCACAGCUUGUACAGGAUAGGUAGGAGCCUUUGAAACGUGAGCGCUAGCUUACGUGGA